RNAcentral lists this long non-coding RNA (3021 nucleotides) under Sus scrofa (pig). RNAcentral's name for it is "lncRNA (ENSSSCG00015078009.1)". Lineage: Eukaryota; Metazoa; Chordata; Mammalia; Artiodactyla; Suidae. The record is from RNAcentral.
GUUCUAGUGUAGACAUGAGUGAAAUGGUCUCCAUUUCUAAAUCAACAGCCUGCCACCACCUUCUGCAGUGGCUGAAUUUCCUGGGUGGUCUUUAAGAAUUGCCCCAGGAGGUAGGCAUGUCAUAGUCUAAUCCGGAUGUUACAAAGGGCACACACACGCGAAGAGAAUAUUUUCAUGCCGAAGGACAACUGCACCUUCUCUAUCAGGAACACACAGGGGCGGCUGUUUGGGCUUUGAAGAGCAUUAUCAAGUCACACAUUUCUCAAUGCCAGUGGGCAAACAGGGGAAGAAUGAAAGCCAGAGCCUGUAAAAGGAAUCGCUGGACGGCUCGAGGAGUGUAUAAAAUAUGCUCUAGAAUUUUCAGCCUCCUGCAGUGCAAGUGAUUAGCUAAAGAAACACUUUGAACCUGUUAGUUGUACAUCUUUUAAACCAUUUUAAAUUAUGGAAAAGACAGUGCUCAAGAAAUUAAUUAAAGUUUUGGACAAUAAUGCAAUCAGGGAUAUCUGUGUUUGCAGUCUUUUCUCUCUGCUUGCAUACAUCUUUCUCUGUCAAGUACAUCAAACAGCUAAUUAGCCCCAUUUUAAGAGCUUCACUGCUCACAUCACUUAAAAGGAUCUCCAGGCUGCCUUCUUAGAGAAUUCACGCUUACUGUGCAUUGGUUUCCUGAAUGCUUCAUAGACUUGGAAAGAAUCUAUUCCCACACAUUGGAGGAACUUUAGAAGUAGAUGGACUUUUUAUUUCCACAAAUCAAUUUUGCUUGUUUUCUCACUCAUGGUCAACAUUUUAUAAAUACUCUUGUAAGGGUUGAUAAACCUAUUUCACCUGGUAUGUGCUUGUUUUAGUUAAAUACCCUUGGGUUUGCUGAAGACAUCUGAAAAACAUUAGAAUGACUGCUUUUUAUUAAGACAUGUGGUACCAGAAAAAAAUUACGAGAGACGAAACUGUUGCUUUCAUUUAGGAUAAAGCGUUACCAUGACAAAAGUUGGGUGUUUCAAAUACCCAUUUUAGAAAUAACUACAGGUCACAUGAUCUACAGAUAUCACAUGUUAGCACAUGUUAAAAGUUAUAACCAUAACUAGAGACAGAAUUUCUGACUCACAGCUUCCAUUAAUCUGAACUAUCACAUGUCAUCUCAAGUUGACUAUAAAAAUAACUCAAGACGCCAGAGUGCUUCAAUUAACAGCUGAAAUAUUGUGAUAUUUUAACACAGGUGAUAUAAAGAAUCAGAGCCACGAAUAGAUACGUGGCUAUGAGUUAUAGCUGUUUCCUUGCAGGUUUAACGUGGAGGGCAAAUGCAGAGAACGCUUUCCCUACUCAUAAGCCCAUCAAGCGGGAUACAUGCGGUUGGUUGAGGGAGGAGUGGAGGUGGAUUACACGUCUAUGGUUUCUUGAUCAUCUAAAAAUAUGUAUGAAUAUGACCUGAGGCAAGAAAGGUGGCAGGUAGUUCAAGAACACCCAAGAUGUUUGAAAGAGAGACUCUGGUAUCUUGAGCAGAACAAGGUACCCAGAGGAACCAAGUAAACCCUUGUAAAAUAAGAACAACCGUAUUAGGAGAUAUCCAUGGUGAACUUGGUAUGGUUUAAGCAUGAUUUUAGAUGUUGUAUUUACAUCUUUUUUACAGUUUUAUUGAAACAGAAUUGACAUACUGCACUGUAUUAGGUUGAACGGUACAGCAUGAUGAUUCAAAAAUUCUAAAUACAUUAAUUCAUUGAAUCUUUACAACCACCUUUUGAGGUCAGUACCAUUAUUAUAUAUUAUCAUAAAUUUACCUAUGUAGACACUGAGCUGUAGAGAGUUUAAAUAACUUGUUCAAGGUCACAUAUCCACUAAAUGGUGGAUUUAAUUUUGACCCCAGGCAAUUGGGCUCUGGAAUGCUGCAUUCCUAAAAUCCUGAAGAAAGAAUAAAAGGAAGAAAUAAGAUGGGGAUGGGAAGAAGGGAGAGAAGAAAGAUAGAGGCUAGGAAAUAGCUAUUUGUUUAGGUGACACCUAAUACUACAAUUUUAAUGGAAGGUCAGAAUGUUUAAGGAGUAAAGGAAGGAAUGGUGGGAAGAAGAUUUCCCUGAGGAGUAUGAUAUUUGACCUAUGCUUUUGAAGUGAAUCAUGCUGGAUUUAAGACUUUUUUGCCUUAAAAUUUCAUUAAAACUUAACCCCUAACUAGUAUUAAUGCUUACUAAAGUAUAUUUUCAGACCAAGCAGAAAAUGAUUUCAACAAAAACAAAUAUUAUGGUUUCAAAGGAGAGGGAAUGAAAGCCAGGUUGAUACAUGAACUAUCCAAAUAAAGUGAAGAAAAAUAAAAACACAUGAACACUUAAAGUUUUACUCUUAUUUUACUAGGAGCAUGUUCCUAAGUCCCUAUAUUUCAAAAUUAUGCAGUCAAGACUUGAAGGUUGGCCUCAUGCAGUGUGCCUGAGAAGACCAAUAAAUAAAAAGCCAACUUCAAUGCUUAGCAAUAACACAAAAACAAAAUAUUUGUAGGGUGGUAGUUUACAGAAUGUGGACCUAUGUUUUACUGUGUUCUCUUUGGCUAAAUAAAGUUGUGAGAAACGAGUUUCCACUCCAUCUGGUUUUAGUGCUCUGAACUGGAGGUGUCUGAGCCUUGGGAUGUCUAAGCAAUGCAUAGUCAAAUAAGGGAUUUAGGGAUAGUUUGGGCUAGAGGCUACAUUAACUGUCAUUUAAUGCAACCAUCUGACUUUAUGUAUUUAUUUUCUAGGUAAUUAAAAAUUUUUAAAAAUUUUUAAAUUAAAUAUGUUUAUUCUACAAUGUUAUAUUAGUUUCAGGUGUACAGCAAAGUGAUUCAGUUAUACAUAUACACAUAGCUAUUCUUUUUAAGGUUCUUUUCCAUUAUAGGUUAUUACAAGAUACUGAGUAUAAUUCCUUGUACUAUACAGUAGGUCCUUGUUGUUUAUCUGUUUUAUAUAUACUACCUGUAUCUUCUAAUUCCAAACUCCUAAUUUAUCCCUCCCCCAACCCCUUACACCUUUGGUAACCACAAGUUUGUUCUCUAUGUCUGUGAAUCUGUUU